This 208-nucleotide ribosomal RNA is filed under the name uncultured bacterium. Its description in RNAcentral is "partial 16S ribosomal RNA". It matches the Rfam family "Bacterial small subunit ribosomal RNA", at positions 568 to 774 of the family's 1533-position model. The record is from RNAcentral.
CUCGUAGGCGGCCAACUAAGUCAGACGUGAAAUCCCUCGGCUUAACCGGGGAACUGCGUCUGAUACUGGAUGGCUCGAGUUUGGGAGAGGGAUGCGGAAUUCCAGGUGUAGCGGUGAAAUGCGUAGAUAUCUGGAGGAACACCGGUGGCGAAGGCGGCAUCCUGGACCAACACUGACGCUGAGUGAGCGAAAGCCAGGGGAGCAAACG